UUAUUUAGAUCUUUUUAAUAUAUAAAAUCAGCGCCCGUAGUUUUUUUGAUGUUUCAGCUGACACUAAAGCAUCGAAAAACCUAACUGAAAAAAAAAUUUGCAUGGUCAUAACUUUUGUGCAAGACGGAAUUUUCAAUACUAUCUCUUUUGAUAUUUAUUCUUCUACCAAAGAGAAGAGAGUCACUACUUGAUAUUUGUAGAUUCAUCUCUUAGAGAUAGGCGUAACAUUGGUUAACUGACAAAAUGUAAAAAGCAGAUUUAUUGGAAGCUAUGUAGCAGCUUGCACAAGCACAAAAAAGCAUUAAACACAUCGAAAAAAAUGUUUUAAAAUCAGGAACCAUCGAAAAUGUAAAUUCCCAGAACAAAACAGUGUGUAGAACGAGCAACCAAGUGUCUUCAAGAUCUUUUUGACAUCAGUAGAAAAGAUAAAGAACCUCAAGCAUAAAUUUAUUUUGUCUCACAAAACAUAAGAAUUGUGCAUCAAGCCUUAAUUAAGCUGAAGACUACACAACAUUUUUUCAAUAUAUACAGUAACCCCCCCCCUGCUUUUGUACUUGUAGAGUUGUUAUCUAAGUUUGUAAUUUUAUAUUUAUUUGUAAUUUAAAGUAUUAAGAUGUAGCAAUAAACUGUUAAGUACUUAAAAACUA
Hydra vulgaris (swiftwater hydra) is the source of this 647-nucleotide long non-coding RNA. RefSeq lists it as uncharacterized. NCBI's taxonomy places the organism in Eukaryota, Metazoa, Cnidaria, Hydrozoa, Anthoathecata, Hydridae. The record is from RefSeq and is a predicted model, not a curated record.